This 445-nucleotide ribosomal RNA is filed under the name uncultured bacterium. RNAcentral's name for it is "partial 16S ribosomal RNA". It matches the Rfam family "Bacterial small subunit ribosomal RNA", at positions 354 to 796 of the family's 1533-position model. The record is from RNAcentral.
GUGAGGAAUAUUGCGCAAUGGAGGCAACUCUGACGCAGCCAUGCCGCGUGCAGGAAGAAGGCGCUACGCGUUGUAAACUGCUUUUAACCGGGAAGAAACCCCAGGACGUGUCCUGGGUUGACGGUACCAGAGGAAUAAGCACCGGCUAACUUCGUGCCAGCAGCCGCGGUAAUACGAAGGGUGCAAGCGUUAUCCGGAUUCAUUGGGUUUAAAGGGUGCGUAGGCGGAGCGUUAAGUCAGUGGUGAAAUCCUGCAGCUUAACUGUAGACUUGCCAUUGAUACUGGCGCUCUUGAGUGCGCUUGAAGUGGGCGGAAUGUGCCGUGUAGCGGUGAAAUGCUUAGAUAUGGCACAGAACACCAAUUGCGAAGGCAGCUCACUAAGGCGAUACUGACGCUGAGGCACGAAAGCGUGGGGAUCGAACAGGAUUAGAUACCCGGGUAGUCC